CCUACGGGAGGCUGCAGUGGGGGAUAUUGCACAAUGGGGGGAACCCUGAUGCCGCGACGCCGCGUGGGUGAAGAAGCGCCUCGGCGCGUAAAGCCCUGUCAGCAGGGAAGAAAAUGACGGUACCUGAAGAAGAAGCCCCGGCUAACUACGUGCCAGCAGCCGCGGGAAUACGUAGGGGGCAAGCGUUAUCCGGAUUUACUGGGUGUAAAGGGGGCGCAGACGGCGAUGCAAGCCAGGAGUGAAAGCCCGGGGCCCAACCCCGGGACUGCUCUUGGAACUGCGUGGCUGGAGUGCAGGAGGGGCAGGCGGAAUUCCUGGUGUAGCGGUGAAAUGCGUAGAUAUCAGGAGGAACACCGGUGGCGAAGGCGGCCUGCUGGACUGCAACUGACGUUGAGGCCCGAAAGCGUGGGGAGCAAACAGGAUUAGAUACCCGGGUAGUC
This 440-nucleotide ribosomal RNA is filed under the name uncultured bacterium. Its description in RNAcentral is "partial 16S ribosomal RNA". It matches the Rfam family "Bacterial small subunit ribosomal RNA", at positions 338 to 795 of the family's 1533-position model. The record is from RNAcentral.